UUUUAUUCCAUAUUUAUGCAGCAAGCUGUCUUCUGGGACAUACAAAGUCUGAGCCCUUCCCCUCUCCCGUACUGGAGCUGGUUUAUUAUUAAAGAGCUCAUCCUCAUGGAGGUUAGAUGUGAAAGCGCUGGACACUUUUGGACAUGAGGUCAAGUUGCUGAAAGCAUAAAACACGGACUCCGCUCUCAGCUAGCACCUGUGAAUAAAAGAAUACACUAUAAAGUGACUCGGCAGGCUAUU
This is a long non-coding RNA of Suricata suricatta (meerkat), 240 nucleotides long. RefSeq lists it as uncharacterized. The transcript has 3 exons. The record is from RefSeq and is a predicted model, not a curated record. Lineage: Eukaryota; Metazoa; Chordata; Mammalia; Carnivora; Herpestidae.